Molecule: ribosomal RNA, 391 nt
Filed under: Clostridioides difficile
Lineage: Bacteria; Bacillati; Bacillota; Clostridia; Peptostreptococcales; Peptostreptococcaceae
Description: partial 23S ribosomal RNA
Rfam family: Bacterial large subunit ribosomal RNA
Source: RNAcentral
UGGUCAAGUUAUUAAGGGUGCAGGGCGGAUGCCUUGGCACUAGGAGCCGAUGAAGGACGUGAUAAGCUGCGAUAAGCUUCGGGGAGUUGCACGUAAACUUUGAUCCGAAGAUUUCCGAAUGAGGAAACUCACUUAGAGUAAUGUCUAAGUAUCAUUAAGUGAAUACAUAGCUUAAUGAGGGGAACUCAGGGAACUGAAACAUCUAAGUACCUGAAGGAAGAGAAAGAAAUUCGAUUCCGUAAGUAGCGGCGAGCGAACGCGGAUUAGCCCAAACCAAUAAAGUUUUCUUUAUUGGGGUUGCGGACAUAUCAUAACGAAGAGGUAUCGUAAUUGAAGAGGUUUGGAAAGACCCACCACAGAAGGUAAUAGUCCUGUAUGUUAAACGAGAAGA